GAAGAAAACACCAUGCAAAUUAAUAUGGCAAGUUAAAGGAAGUAGAGCAGAAAGUAAGGGGAAGAAAGUAAGAAAGGAAGAAAAGGAUGACUUUCUUCGUCUAGGUACUUUCUGCUCGCUUUUGUCUGUUGGUUU
Molecule: non-coding RNA, 135 nt
Filed under: Protocruzia adhaerens
Lineage: Eukaryota; Ciliophora; Spirotrichea
Source: RNAcentral